This 301-nucleotide ribosomal RNA is filed under the name uncultured bacterium. Its description in RNAcentral is "partial 16S ribosomal RNA". It matches the Rfam family "Bacterial small subunit ribosomal RNA", at positions 509 to 808 of the family's 1533-position model. The record is from RNAcentral.
CAGUAGCCGCGGUAAUACGUAGGGGGCGAGCGUUGUCCGAAGUUACUGGGCGUAAAGCGCGCGUAGGCGGCUUCUUAAGUCUGAGGUGAAAGGUUCAACGCUUAACGUGAACAGUGCCUUGGAUACUGGGGAGCUUGAGUAUGGGAGAGGGCAGUGGAAUGGCUGGUGUAGCGGUGAAAUGCGUAGAUAUCAGUCGGAACACCCAUGGCGAAGGCAGCUGCCUGGCCUAAUACUGACGCUGAGGUGCGAAAGCGUGGGGAGCGAACGGGAUUAGAUACCCGCGUAGUCCCUGUCUCUUAUA